Molecule: long non-coding RNA, 819 nt
Filed under: Junco hyemalis (dark-eyed junco)
Lineage: Eukaryota; Metazoa; Chordata; Aves; Passeriformes; Passerellidae
Description: lncRNA (ENSJHYG00000015421.1)
Source: RNAcentral
CUUCGCUUCGGCGGCGGCUGCUGCGGGAGGUGGCGGCGCCGCGGCGGCGAGCGGAGCCCGGCAGUAGCCGCCAGCCCCGGGGUAUGCGGGUGAGCGGGAGAGGAACGCGGAGGAAGGCGGAGAGCGGCGGGGAGCGGGGCGAGGGAGCCCGGCCGAGCCCUCCCGAGCGGCGGAGGAUGCGCCGAGCCCCGGGGAGUCGAGCCCAGCUGCAGCGCGGCGCGUCCCGCCCGGCCGCCGCCCCAGCCCGCGCAGCUCCCUGUGCCCUGGAGCCAUGAGCUGCCCUCAGUGCCCGCAGAGCCGCCGGAGCAGCCUCCCAGCCACAGCCCCCCGGCACUCUUAGGCUUCCCUGCCCCCCUGGAAGGUGCUCAUCUCUGGCCAGGAGAACCAGCUGCACCUGCACCCUGCCUCUGCAUCCCUCCCAGGUUCCUUGCCUCACCAGCAGGUCCUUGUAGCGCUUCAGCUCUGGGCUGUGUGUCUGGGGCUGAGCCAGGUGCCCCCUGCUCGGUGCUGGGUCCCAUGAGCCGGGCAGAACCCCCCUGUCCCUCGUGCCCGGGGCUGCAGCGCCCGGCUGUGCCCCCCCAGAGGAGCUGCAGAGAGCUGCUGCCACGUGCAUGAGUGGAAAGCAGAGGAGAGGCCAAAGCCCAGUGCACACCUGGCAUCUGAUCCCCCAGCAUCCUGCCUUCAUCUGACCCAGGUAGGCACAUGUGAUGCUGACGUGCAAUUGUGGUGCUGAGUCCAGGGCUGGACUGGUUUCCAUUGCCAAAAUUGUGGUAAAAAUGCUUUUUCCUUCCCCUUUAGUCUGGGGUGGCUUCCCAUCCC